RNAcentral lists this ribosomal RNA (1095 nucleotides) under marine sediment metagenome. RNAcentral's name for it is "bacterial SSU rRNA". It matches the Rfam family "Bacterial small subunit ribosomal RNA", at positions 296 to 1382 of the family's 1533-position model. The record is from RNAcentral.
GAGGAUGAUCAGCCACACUGGGACUGAGACACUGCCCAGACUCCUACGGGAGGCUGCAGUCGAGAAUCAUUCGCAAUGCGGGAAACCGUGACGAUGCGACGCUGCGUGGAGGAUGACGGCCUUAGGGUUGUAAACUCCUGUCAUAAGGGAAAAGACACCUUGCGGUUAAUAACCGCGAGGUUCGAUGGUACCUUAAGAGGAAGCCACGGCUAACUCUGUGCCAGCAGCCGCGGUAAUACAGAGGUGGCGAGCGUUGUUCGGAUUUACUGGGCGUAAAGGGUGUGUAGGUGGUCAUGUAUGUCGGAUGUGAAAUUCUGGGGCCUAACCCCAGCGCUGCAUUCGAAACUGCGUGACUAGAGUACAGGAGAGGUAAGCGGAAUUCUUGGUGUAGCGGUGAAAUGCGUUGAUAUCAAGAAGAACACCGGAUGCGAAGGCGGCUUACUGGAAUGUUACUGACACUCAUACACGAAAGCUAGGGGAGCAAACAGGUUUAGAUACCCUGGUAGUCCUAGCUGUAAACGGUGUGCACUCGGUGUUGGAGGAAUUGUCCCCUCCAGUGCCUAAGCUAACGCGUUAAGUGCACCGCCUGGGGAGUACGGUCGCAAGAUUAAAACUCAAAGAAAUUGACGGGGACCCGCACAAGCGGAGGAGCAUGUGGCUUAAUUCGAUGCAACGCGAAGAACCUUACCUGGGCUUGACAUAUAUCUGCACGUCCUGUGAAAGCAGGAUUCCUUCGAGGGUGAUAUACAGGUGCUGCAUGGCUGUCGUCAGUUCGUGCCGUGAGGUGUUGGGUUAAGUCCCGCAACGAACGCAACCCCUGUGUUUAGUUGCUACCAGGUAAUGCUGAGCACUCUAGACAGACUGCCCGUGUAAUCGGGAGGAAGGUGGGGACGACGUCAAGUCAGUAUGGCCCUUACGCCCAGGGCUGCACACGUGCUACAAUGACCGGUACAGAGGGUCGCAAUGUCGCGAGGCGGAGCAAAUCCCUUAAAACCGGUCCCAGUUCGGAUUGGAGUCUGCAACUCGACUCCAUGAAGUUGGAUUCGCUAGUAACGGCGUAUCAGCUACGCCGCCGUGAAUACGUUCCCGGGUCUU